UAUGACUGCGGAGACAUUACUGUGGGCUGUUCUUCGGAAGCCCGCGAGAUAGCACCCUCUGCUUUUUUGAGUACCUCUUGUUUCCUCGGCGGGCUUGCCCGCCAACGGGGACCUCAAUUCAACCUUUUGCAGUAGUAUGAAAACGUCUGAUAACAAUCUAAAUCGUUACAACUUUCAACAAUGGAUCUCUUGGUUCUGGCAUCGAUGAAGAACGCAGCA
RNAcentral lists this unclassified non-coding RNA (219 nucleotides) under Medicopsis romeroi. Its description in RNAcentral is "sequence contains ITS1". The stretch from base 170 to 219 matches the Rfam family "5.8S ribosomal RNA", at positions 1 to 50 of the family's 154-position model. The record is from RNAcentral. Lineage: Eukaryota; Fungi; Ascomycota; Dothideomycetes; Pleosporales; Neohendersoniaceae.